RNAcentral lists this transfer RNA (74 nucleotides) under Petromyzon marinus (sea lamprey). RNAcentral's name for it is "tRNA-Arg (ACG) (tRNA-Arg-ACG-21-1)". It matches the Rfam family "tRNA". From Rfam's summary of the family: Transfer RNA (tRNA) molecules are approximately 80 nucleotides in length. Their secondary structure includes four short double-helical elements and three loops (D, anti-codon, and T loops). Further hydrogen bonds mediate the characteristic L-shaped molecular structure. tRNAs have two regions of fundamental functional importance: the anti-codon, which is responsible for specific mRNA codon recognition, and the 3' end, to which the tRNAs corresponding amino acid is attached (by aminoacyl-tRNA synthetases). tRNAs cope with the degeneracy of the genetic code in two manners: having more than one tRNA (with a specific anti-codon) for a particular amino acid; and 'wobble' base-pairing, i.e. permitting non-standard base-pairing at the 3rd anti-codon position. The record is from RNAcentral. Lineage: Eukaryota; Metazoa; Chordata; Hyperoartia; Petromyzontiformes; Petromyzontidae.
GGGCCAGUGGCGCAAUCGAUAACGCGUCUGACUACGGAUCAGAAGAUUUGUAGGUUCGACUCCUGCCUGGCUCG